Molecule: small RNA, 28 nt
Filed under: Bombyx mori (domestic silkworm)
Lineage: Eukaryota; Metazoa; Arthropoda; Insecta; Lepidoptera; Bombycidae
Description: ovarian small RNA-11220
Source: RNAcentral
ACCACGGUGGAUCUCCUCUGCAGCCAGC